This 340-nucleotide unclassified non-coding RNA is filed under the name uncultured fungus. Its description in RNAcentral is "partial contains small subunit ribosomal RNA, internal transcribed spacer 1, and 5.8S ribosomal RNA". The stretch from base 1 to 73 matches the Rfam family "Eukaryotic small subunit ribosomal RNA", at positions 1759 to 1831 of the family's 1831-position model. The record is from RNAcentral. Lineage: Eukaryota; Fungi.
GCAAACUUGGUCAUUUAGAGGAAGUAAAAGUCGUAACAAGGUUUCCGUAGGUGAACCUGCGGAAGGAUCAUUACCGAGUUAGGGUGUCGCCUCGGCGCGCCCGACCUCCCAACCCUUUGUCUACUUACCAAACGUUGCUUCGGCAGGCCCGCCGACCCUCGCCGCCCCCCGGGCGAUGAGGUGAGGCCGCCGGGGGUCCCGCGACCCCGGGCCCGCGCCUGUCGAUGGCCCCAACCACAAAACUCUUGCAUUAACGUGUCGUCUGAGUUAUCAAACAAAAUUGAAAACCAAAACUUUCAACAACGGAUCUCUUGGUUCUGGCAUCGAUGAAGAACGCAGC